This 828-nucleotide long non-coding RNA is filed under the name Phoenix dactylifera (date palm). Its description in RNAcentral is "long non-coding RNA (PDAC_LNC014193)". The record is from RNAcentral. Lineage: Eukaryota; Viridiplantae; Streptophyta; Magnoliopsida; Arecales; Arecaceae.
GCGCUGGUGGUGAAGUCCGACGAGGAGAGGCGCCGGUGGAGGAUACCGGAGGUAGAACCCAGCAUGAGCGAGGGCGGUGGCAAACAUCAGGCUGCCGGAGUGUCCAGAUCUGGCAACAUCCUGGUCCGAGGGCAAGGAGAAAAUAGGGAGGAGGGGCUUCUCGGAUCGGAUGAGCUAUUGGGGGCUUUUGUAGCCCUCCCCAGGGAAGGAAGAAAAUGGCCGUGGCUCGUUCACCGCCGUGAUGCUCGCGGCGGUUGAGCGGGAUCGGAGGCCAUUCAAGAGUCCACGGCAUUUCUGCUCCAGUCUCGCCUCCGUUACCCCGAGGAAGAAGACCAGAGGAUCCUCUUAUGCUGGAAAGAGCGCUUCGGGCCCAAGGGCUGAGGGGCACCCGGUACCGCUUCCUCUACGGGGACCUCAAGGAGAACGCCCGGCUCAUCAAGGAGGCCCGGGCCAAACUCACGCCUCUCUCUCACGACAUCGGCCCCGGGUCGCUCCCUUCUAUCAUCGUGUCACGAAGGAAAACGUAACUGUUGCCAGGAAAAAAAAAAAACUAAUCACAGGCAACAGUUGAACGGUUUCUUCCUUAUUACACGACCAGUUUGAUGCAGGUAAAAUGUCAUUCACUUGGUUCGGGCCUGAUCCGAGAGUAAUCAUUAUGGAUCCAGGACUGACAAGAGAAAUUCUGUCCAACAAGUUUGGUCACUUUGAGAAGCCAAACUCAAAUCCUCUACUGAGGUUAUUGGUUGCAGGACUCUUAAGUUAUGAUGGUGAGAAAUGGGCCAAACAUAGGAAGAUCAUCAAUCCUGCUUUCCAUCUAGAGAAAUUAAA